Alexandromys fortis (reed vole) is the source of this 22102-nucleotide long non-coding RNA. RefSeq lists it as uncharacterized. The record is from RefSeq and is a predicted model, not a curated record. NCBI's taxonomy places the organism in Eukaryota, Metazoa, Chordata, Mammalia, Rodentia, Cricetidae. The transcript has 5 exons.
AGAAUGGGAGCAAAAAAAAAAAAAUUAGAUUUGAUAUUUUCAGUCAUUCAUCCAACAAAUAUUUAAAGUACCUAACUGUAUACUAGGAACUGAUGUCAACAGUGACCCAGUCAGGCAAAGGUAAACAAGGUUCUGCUGAGUCUAGGAGAGCUCGUAUCCUUGGUCACUCCAAUGCAUGGGUGUAUUUGUUUCUAAAUGGACCGUGGUAGAUGUGGGAUCGACAAUAUCUGCUACCUAGCUCAUGGCCUCCAGCUUUAACAGUACCAUUUUGGGGGAGUUGGAUGGGAUCCACCCUUCAGCCCACCUUGGCAAUAUUCAAUAAAUUAGACUUAAUACCAGUUGCAAUGAGGAGCCACACAUGCCAUAGUGAAUGACUGGGGCACUUCUGUAAAGAGCACAAGAAGUGUCUUAGUCUGUGGUGGAACACAUGUUCACUGCCCUGCCUAGAUCCCAGUUAGCUUAGUACCUGAGCCUGAAGCUGGGUUAGGUCACAGAUGAGGAGGGGACUUUAGAAGGGACACUAAGAGGAAACAAGAAAGUGGGAGCUCUCUGUUUGGAAUAACGGGCUCUGCAGGUGUGGUUAAGGCAUGAUGACUACGUAAGCAUGUCCCAGACUAGCAGGAUGAGCCUUCAGUAGCUGGAGAGAUGGCUCAGUUGGCAAAGUGUUCACCGUGCAAACAUAGGGACCUGAAUUCAAGGAAAGUCCAAGUGGGGUGGUGCAUGUCUGUCACCACAGCACUGGAGAAGCAAAGACCCUAGAGGUCACUGUCUAGCCAGCCUAGGGGAGCUGGUGAGCUCUGGGUUCAUAAAAAGGGCCCGGUCUCAAAAGUAUAGAAAUAAGGUAAAGAGUGAUCAGGGACGAGUCCUGACAUCCAUCUCCUCAUGCACAUGUAUGCGGAUACACAUACUCAUAUGAACAUGUACACACCACAUAUUCAUGUACACACACAAAUAAUAAUAACAACAAAAAAAGGAAUAAACAAAAUGGAAUAGGCCCUAAGUCCACUCAUGGAUGUUUUUAUAAGAAAUCAAAGGACUGGACACUAGAAGCACUGAAGGGAAAGCCAUGUGAAGACAGAGCACAGGGAUCUGCUGGGCUCUGCCUAGGAGAAGCCCAGGAUAUUUACAGCUACCAGAAAAUGGAAGAGGUGAGGCUAAACUCUCUUCAGAAGAAACUCCAGAAGAUGCUGCCCUGCUAAGUCUUUGAUUUUGACUUGUGGCCUCCAGAGCUACAAAAGAAUAAACUUCUCUAGCUUUAAACCACUUGUUUGUUCCAGGAAACUGAUCCAGACACAAUCUAGGUGGGAAAACAAUGGCAUUGUAAAGGGAUGAAAACAUCCAAGUCUCAUAGCACUAAGGAAAUAUGACAGAAUCCCUGAGAAAAUGGGACCCAAAACACGGCCUCUGGCCAAAGAAGAUCCACUUGGUGAAUGACUAAAAUGAUCCAUCCUUCCAGGACAAUACAACUCAGACACUAAGAGCCAUGAACUUAGUAUAUAUAGUGGCUACAGUGAGGUCUUGUGUAAUUCCAGUGAGUGAAAGCCAAACAAAAUUGAGUGUGUACUCUUUGCUAUGACUGUAGUUAUGUAAAAUUCUAAAACACUCAAACUAAUCUAUAGUGAGCAAAACAUGUCCAUGGACACAAGAUGGAAGAGCUACUAACUGAGUUAUGGUCCCUAAAAUUUAGAUAUUGAACCUUGGCCUGGAGAGAUAGCUCAGCAGUGAAGAACACAUAGUGCUCUCAGAGGGAGUCUAAGUUCAUUUCCCAGUGCCUCUGCCACCUGUAACUACAGUUCCUCUUCUGGCCUCUGUGGGCAUGAUCCUCAUAGGCUCACAUGCUUACACAUUGACACAAGCAUGCUCACAAUUAAAAACAAAAGUAAAAUCAUGAAAGUCUAGACUGCAGGAGUGUCUUCUAUCUAUUUGUUGCUUUCAUUGGUUAAUUAAUAAAGAAAACUGCUUGGCCUGAUAGGUCAGAACAUAGGUAGGUGGGGAAGACAAAAUAGAAUGCUGGGAGAAAGAAGGCAGUGAGGCAGUCGCCAUGCUUCUCCUACCCAAGACAGACGGUGGUUAGAAUCUUCCAAGUAAGCCACCACCUCGUGGUGCUACACAGAUUAUUAGAAAUGGGUUAACCAAGAUGUGAGAGUAAGCCAGUAAGAGGCUAGAGCUAAUGGGCCAGGCAGUGUUUAAAUGAAUACAAUUUCUGUGUAAUUAUUCUGGGGCUAAGCUAGCUGUGCGGGCGGGAUGAAAAGCAGGCCUGCCCACAGCUCCUUCAACACUAGACCCUAAUAGGAUUGUGUUGGGAGACAGGGAUUUUGGAGCAUGAUUAAGUCAUAAGGAUGGUAUAAUCGGUGGCCCUUUAAAAGGAGACACUAAUAGCUUCUUCAUUUAUAUUCUCUGUCUCUGUUUCUGUCUGUCUCAUGUGUGUGUGUGUCCAUAAUACAAGAACACAGUGAGAAGGUAGUGUCUGCAACUUGGAAGACAGUUCUCACCAGCCCCUGACCCUAUCAGCAUCUUGACUUCCAGACGUCAAUCCCCAGAACUGAAAGAAAGAAAUUUUUGCUGUUCAAGCCACCGAGUCUGUAGAUGAAUUCGAGAGAUGAGGAGGAGCAAAAGAAAGAGAAUCUUCUAAGCAGAAACCUGAGAAAGACUCCCAUAGCUGAGGAAGGCCUGGGGAACUCCUGUGUGCAAAUGUCUAUGGGAGAAGGCGAGGAGUGGUAACCCACACAGAGGCCAUUGUUGAGGGAAUAGGAGACCACGAGGUUGUUGACACACCCUGCACCCAACCCACAAAGGAGUACGACGUAAUCACGAGUCCUCUGGGAGACCUGCUGCUUUAGCCUCAGAUUCUAAAUGGUUCCUGCUUGGUGAUCCUGUGGCUCCAGUUUCUCUUUAAGAAGACUGAAGUUAGAGAGACCUGGAGUGAGCAGGCUGGUGGGCCACCCAUUCUGGCCCAGGGGAGAGCUGCCUUUCUCAAUGCUAACUGCAGAAUGGCAGGAGUUCAUGACAUAAAAAUCAAGUUCCCACAUCCCUUCAUGCCUGGGUACCGCCAUGGCAUUUCUGUGUCUAGAACCCAUCACUCCUUCACUACAGACAGUCAGUGCUGCCCUGCUGAACCUCGCGAAAGGAUUCUGCAUCCAGUGUCAUGAGACAUUAUUAAGUCAAACUCCUGAGUGAUGAGUACAGUCCUAUUGGAUGGUCAAAGAUAAGGCUAGGAGCCGGGCGGUGGUGGCGCACGCCUUUAAUCCCACCACUCGGGAGGCAGAGGCAGGCGGAUCUCUGGGAGUUCGAAGACAGCCUGAUCUACAAGAGCUAGUUCCGGGACAGGCUCCAAAGCUACAGAGAAACCUUGUCUCGGGAAAAAAAAAAAGUCUUUGCAGGGAGUGUCAGCCAGUGGAAACGUCAGCACUAGUGCCAGGCCACUGAGCAUCGCGGCCUCCAGGGAAUGCAAACACUUUGUAAAUGGUUGCUCCACCAUACUGUCUAAAGAACAGCUGCAAGAGGAAAAGCCUGAAGGAGACACAACCAAUCUCUUUUCAGCAUUUUCCAUCUGGAGCCAGCCCAUGAUAGAGGUAAUCAGCUGCCCUGCGUCAGCUUGGUACCUGGUUACUGUGAAACUCUGCAGUGUCCCUAGGGGACCUGUGAAGCAACAUAUAGCUAAUGAGUGUGGGAAUGGUCAAGUCGCCAGGAACUGAGGCCACAGCCAACAAGCCAAAUGAGCUCUUUCACCCCAAGAUGUCAGGGUGAGACAGGUCUUUGUUUCAAAAUAUGGGUUUCUGGGCAGGAAAUAAAGAUGCUUGCAGCCGAACCUGACUACCUGAAUUCUCUUCGUGGGACUCAUAUGGUAGAAGGAGAAAACUGACUCUCCCAAGUUGUCCUCUGACCUCCACAUGCAUUCUACGGCAGGCAUGUGCAUCAUAACACACACACACACAAUUUAAAACUUUCAAAAAUAGAUUUUAUUACUUAGAAGAAUUUUACAUUUAUCGAAAGAUUGGGAAGGCCAUGCAGGGCCCCAUAAAUGCCACAUAUAAUUCCCCGUCGCUAACAUCUUGCUAAAAAUGAGCACAAAAGCAAUUCAUCUCAGUCAUGACAGAAAUUUUAGAAACAAGGACUAUGCAUGAAUGCUCAGGACACAAAUUUGGUUGGAAAGGAAAAGGCUUUCUGGAAAGGGAAUCUUCAGGGAUUCAGGGAAAGGAAAUUCAGGUCACCCUCUGUCAGAGAAAAGAGGCAGGCUGCUAGCAUCUGACAGAUGUCUGGGGUGUGUUGUUCGUGAGGAUGGUAGCCCUCCCCUCCACACACGCUAAUCUCGUCCACAUGGUUAAAGGGGAUUUUUCCAUGUACGAUGUAUAUCAGUGUCCAGUCUGUCCUGACACCCGUAGGGAAUGUGUCUUGCCAUAAAGGAAUACAAGACAGGCACAUUUACUAGACUUGUCUGCAUGGAGGGAGGCUAAUAGGAUUUAAGGGUUUUUCUAUUGCUACUUUAUCACAUCCAAAUAGCACACAGUCUGCAGGUAAGAGGAAAAUAUUGUAAUUUAAUAAAUCCCUUGCUUCCCUCAUCCCCUACAACCCAUGUACGUGUGUUCCUGUGUGUGCAUGUGUUGGGGGCAGGGCAUGUGAGAGUAGAGACCAGAGGCCAGUGUCGUGUCUUCCUCAAUCUUUCUAAUCACUCUCCACCUUAAUGUUUGUGACAGGGUCUCUCCCUGAACCUGGAAUCCACUGACUUGGCUAGACUGGCUGCCCAGCACCCCGGGGACCCGCCUGUCUCUACCUCCCCAGCACUAGGUUCUAGGGAUGCACUACAACAUCUGGCUUUCUCAUGUGUGUUCUGGGGAUCCAAAAGUGGGUCCCCAUGCUGUUACAGCAGGCACUUGGUCAACUAUGCUGGCUCUCCAGCCUCAGGCUUCCUUACUUCUUACCUAAAGUCCUUUCUCUGCUCCAGAAUCCCAGGACAUGUCACGCUGAGGCACAGUGACUCUUGGGGUGCCUCUUGGCUAUGGCAGUUUCUCAGACUUUUGUUUUUCAUACUCUGGAUGCUUUGAAGGAUGGCUAUCCAGGUGUUCUGGGGAAUGUUCAUUUAUCAGAACCAUUUGAUGUUUUUUUUUUUUUCCUUAUGAUUAGAAUGGGGCUCUGGGUUUGGGAGGAAAAAGAGGGGGGAAACACUAACGUCAGAUAGUCAUCUCAUCAAACUGUAUUAUAAAGGAGCCAGGGAUAUGAGUUCUCCAUCAAAGAGUUGGGUGCGGCGGUACAUGCAGAUAAUCCCAACAUGGGGGGCAGGCAGGCUCCCUGGCCAGCCUGUCUAGCCUUCCUAGGCCAUUGAAAGGCCCUGCCUCAAAAGCCAAGGUAAAUAGUCCUUGAGGAAUAACAGCAGAGGACCUCUGGUGUCCACACACGUGCAUGCUUAGGCAUGUGCACCCGCGCACAUGCAACUUGCCUACACAAACUGUAGCAUUAAUGUGAUUGUGACCACUGACAAACCUUUUUUUGUAUGUAGUGUGUUCGUGUCCAUCCACAUGCAUAUACACAUGAGUUAGCCCGUGUGUGCAGGUGUGGAAGGCUGAGGUAGAUCCCAGGCCUCCUCCUCUGCAUUCUCCACCUUACUUUUUGAGACAAGGUCUCUCACUGAACCUGAAGUUUGCUAUUUUGGUUACAGUGGCUGGCUACUGAUCUCCCAUGAUCCCCGUGUCCAUCCCGACUCCUAUCUCUGGGCUGUAGCUGCUCAGCACCAUGUCCAAGUGUGUGCUGGGGAUUUAAACUCAGUUCUUUGUGUUUAUGAAGCAUGCACUUUACCCACUAGGCUGUCUUCUCAGCCCCUAUUGGUUGGAUUUUGGUGGCCAGAAUGAAGCAAUAUGCACCAGGGCUUCCCUGCACAGUUGAGAAGGGACCUCUGGGUGCAAAAAGCGCCAGGGCACCUUCUUCACAGUGUCCCCAAAAAUGAGCUAGCAGUGGGAAUGAGGCCGCUGGCGGGGGCGGGGGGGUCCCACAAAAGAACCGAUGAUAAACUCCAGGGCCCUCAGAUGUGUUGUUCAUUGAAAGCUUGCUGUGAACUUUCUCCACUGCCCCCCGCCCAACCUCACCUAUAUUCUCUUCGCAGUUUUGAGGGCAAUUCUCACGGCAAGGCUGUAUGUUUCUGGAUGAUGGGAUUAACAGAGGGAUGCAACAACCCCUGGAUAAACUGGUUCUGCAAGGCCAGGAUGUGGACACAGAAGGAAAAGAUACUUCAAAGCUGGUUUGUCAUUGAGUCUGCCAGAAUCUUCCAUUGUAACUCCAGCUGCCCUAUUCAAAUUUGUAUAACCUGGCUCCUCUGAUCCAAGCCCAAUGAGAGUGAGGACCUUGCUGUAGAAUCCAGCUUUCCGGGACCCUGCUCAAUAUACCCCAGGAACCCUGUAUUCUGUUGAAAGAUUACCCGGCUCCCAGAGCCAAUCCCCACUUCAGACAGGAGAACUCAGUCUUGCUUCUAAAGCCCAGGUGUGAGCAAACCCUUGUUUGAUGGCUCAUCCCCAGGAAGUUCUCAAUGGAUAAGAUCAAGAGGCGGUGUCAGAGCAAUCAUUGCUACACCUACACCUGAGUGUCCCUUGACCUCUGCUCAUAGAUAUUUAUUCACCCAUGUCUGUUGAGCCCUGCAUGCCAGAUAUCAUGCUAGAUACCGGGAUUGUACAAGUCAAGAAGGUGUAACCUCUACAAGUUUUCAUUGCCUCCACCUGCAAUAAAAAUAAUACCAUUUGUCGGGUGGCUUGAACAACAGAAACCCAUUCUUGCAUAGUUCCAGAGAACAGAAGUCUGUGUCAAGGGUGCCAAUAGGGCUAAGUUUUGGUGUGAGAUCUCUUCCUAGCAUGGAGAGGACAAUCUCAAAUGGAAGGAGGAAACAGAGAAAAAGAGAGACAGAGACAGAGACAAUGUCUGUCUUCUUAAAAGGGGCACUAAUAUGCCUUCCUUUUGAGAGUGGCAGCAAGCAAAGAUAGAUCACCAUGAAGGCCUCAGGCACACUUUGUGAGUAAAAGGUGGGGGGCACUUCUUGCCUUCCCCAAAGUGCCAAAUGCCACCUAGGUACCAAAUCUGCAUCUUUGUACCCAACCAUGUGGUGGCCAAGUCCCGCUUCCGGUGUUUGGUGUCAAGGCUGAAGAAGACGUCAAUUAGGGGAGACAGUGCACCAUGGACAGGUGUUUGAGAAGCCACCCCUGGGUGAAGAACUUAGGCGUCUGACUGCACCCUGACUUCUGCAGUGACACACAUGUACCGAGAGGAUCAGGACCUGACCACCUCUGAUGCCAUCACAAUGCUACUGAGACAUGGGUGCCCAGCACCAUGCCUGUCCACAUCCCUGCAGAUCAUGAGGGGGGAAGAGACUGAAGAGGGUAAGUGCUGCUGGCCAGCUGUCAAACAGCUCCGUGACUCCAAGUUCAAGUUCCUGUUGUGCGGCACCAACUCCGCCACCAAGAGACCCAACUGAGUAAAACUCCAGAGGGUCAGAAAAGGAGGGGGCACUAAUACCAUCAUGGGGCCUCACCACGAUCUCAUCUAAAGUUAAUCCCCUCCCAGAACUCUGUCUUCGUGGGUCAUCUAACUGGUUCUCGGGCUUCAGCAGGGAAUUUCCAAGCGUUGGGAUCACAGGGGUGUUCCCCCACUCCUGCCUGCUGUUCUCCCAUUUGCUGAUGAGGCUGAACACUUGAUUGCCAACUAGUGGCACUGUUUUAGGAUGCAGAGACUUGCUGGGGAGAAGGGGUCAGCAGGGGUGGGUUCUGAGAUGUUAAGAGUCUGGCUCUCCUUCCUGUCUUCCUGAUGAGGGAUACAGGGUGACCGGCUGACUGUAGCUUCUUCUGUUGUGCCGUCUUCUCUUGCUGAGCCAUUCUUCUUCAUUGUCAAUCUCUGUUCAGCUUCACUCACGAUGAUAAAAAAAAUGAUUAUAUCUCCUGUCAUUAAUAUCUCCUGUCAUUAAUAUUGUCUGUCAUUAAUAUCUUCUGCAAAUUACACAAGAUGUAGUCAGCUUUCACCUGUUUGGAUCCCAGCGUCCUCCAGUUCUUCCCAGCCUUGAAUAUUUAAGGUUCUGGCUCUUUCCCAUGAAGUACAAGUCCCUCUUAUCUUGACCUCAUUAUGGCCCAGACUUUGCAAGUUCCCUGCAUUGACUUCAGUGCCUUCCACACAGCCAAAGCCUGUGUGUCUAAGAGAAGAAUUUCUUAGAAAGCAAGUUAGAUUAAUGAGUGCAACCUGAUUCGGCACAGUAAAAAUUGGAAGCCGAGGCCGCGGUCCACUGCCCUGGCAACAGCAAGACACGUACGCAGUCAAGGAAUACCAAGAGAACCAACCUUCCAUGAAGUACACAGGGUGAUGGUUGUUUGGGGCUGCUCUGCUUGUAGUAAAUAGAAUCAAAUUGGAUGAAUUGAGGGAAGUGUAAUGAAGAACACAGGAGGAUAGAGACAGGAGAAGAAGGAAGAGGUGGAAGAGAAGAGAGGAGAGGAGGAAGAGGGAGGAAGAAGAGGAGGAGAAGGAGGGGCAGUAAGACGCAGGAGGAGUCAGGGUGUGGCACCUUUGGCAGAGUGCUUGCCUCCCAUGAGAUGUAGCCCUAGGUUUGACCUCCAGCCUGGUGUAAUCCAGGUGUGUUAAUACACAGUUAUAAUCCAAACGCUUGAGAGGCUGAGGUUAAAGAAUCAGCAGUUUGAUUAUCUUCAACUCCAUAGCAAGUUUGAGGCCAGUCUGGGCUACAUGAGACCUGCCUCAAGUAGCAACAGCAAAGGCAGGAGAGGUCAAAGGACAGCAGACCCUUUUGGGGAAGUACGUGCAGUCAGGUAGGUUCUCUUCUAAACCCUGUAGCUGCCACAGGAGGAAUCCAGAGAAGUUACAAUAUGACCCCCAGGGAAGAGACCCUUUAAGAUGAUGGAGUGGAGGAGUAAAUACUCUUAGUUUCUUGGUCCUCCUUGUUUAUGGUCUCCAGCCAAAUGUUCCCCAUGUGCCCAGUUGGCAAAGGCCAACCUCAAAUAUAGAGAGAAUGAGAGAGAUGACAGGGAUGCAGAAUGCAGAAUGGUUUAUGCUCAUGGCCAACACAUCUCCCAGAAUCUGCCCCUUAACCCAGGAACACACACACACACACACACACACACACACACACACUUUCUGGUAACAGAACCCUGUUAUUUCUUGGAGGGAGGUGCUACAAGCCUAACCACAUCUUUCAAUAUCUCAGAAUAUGACCUUACGUGGAAACAGGUCAUUGUUGACAUGAGAGGAGAGGAGGGUUUAUUUGGUUUACACUUCUAGAUCACAGUUCUUCACUGAGGGAAAUCUUUAUGUGAAAGAGUGGGUCCUUAGUCUAAUAUGCCUGGUGUCUCUAUAAGGAAAAAAAAAAUACAGGGUCUGAAGAUGUGUCUCAGUUGGUAGGUCCCUUGUCUGGCAGUCACAAAGCCCUGGGUUUCAUUCUGAAUACCAAAUAAAUUGUGUGGUGGCAGGCUCCUGCAAUCCUAGCAGUCAGAGGGGUAGACAGGAGGACGGAAAAAUUCAAGGUCAUUCUUGGCCACAGAGCACAUUCAAGGCCUAGCCCUAGCCUAGUCAACAUGAAACCUUGUCUCCAUAAAAGGAAAAGGGAAAUAGAAAGCUGGACUUAGAGCUGUGGGGAAGAUGGCGGGGGUUGGGGGCGGGGAGCAGAGGUAAAGACUGAGCAGCGGCAGAUGUAAGGGAGAGGUCACGAGGGCUAGCCGAAACUGGCACCACCAACGGAAGAUGCUUUCAGCCUGCAGCCUUCGGAGGGCAUGAAGCCCUGCUAAUAACUUAACUUCUGGUCUCCUGCCCCCAGGACUCUGAGACUUCCUGUUUCUUAAGCAGGCUUUUUGGGGUACAGGCUGAGCAGUUCCCGUCUCAAAGGAAAAGAGUCCAAAUUACUCCAACCUCUGAAACGACAUCAACAUCAAGUCACAAGUGGAAAACACCAGAGAUGACUUCGUAGGACAGGUGGCAGCCUGGACCCGGGCAUACAAUGCCUCGUUGUAUAAAACUGCCUUCAGGUCAUGUGUGUGUGUCUAGCAGAUAUGAAAAAUAGAUGAAUUUCUUAUUUUGACUUCGGUCCCACCUCAGUGAUAUCUCAUUGUGAAUAUACAAAUAUUCUGAAAUCGCCUUUUGGUCAGGGAAACCAUUGUAUACCGUAUUACAGAAUCAGCCCUAGGGGAUGAGUAGACCUUAACCUCCCUUCCACGUGGAAUCCUGGUGGACUACAAAGUCCAUGAAAGCUAAGGGGGUGCAGUGAUUUUCGAGGCAUCAUGAACUUGAAGAGUAAAAAUGAGGAAAUGAGGGCCUCAAUUCAGUCCCCAGCUCUGCCACUUACUGGCCAAGAGGGAGUUAGAUGAACCCAUCUGGGGGGGGGGAAGCAUGUUUGAGGUACGGGGUUCCUUGGCUGGGUUUCGGAAGACAUAGAAGAACUCAAAGGAGAUGGAGGACACCCUGAGCAAGUUGGAAACCCCUGGUGGCCCUUCUUACUUUCGCCCCUCAUCAGAAUUUUAGAUUCUUGAAGUUCUCUUUCUCCUGUUUCAAGGAGGGAGGUUACUCUCCAUACGCAAUUCCCUGCAUCUAAGAGGUGGGCAGAUGGAAAAUUCACUAAAGUUACCAUUUGCACAAAGCUGAUGUAGAAGAAGACAACAGCCAGCCAGAAAGAUGCUGCCCUGGCUUCCCAGUGUUCCGCAAGAAUCCCAAGUGUCCACGUGGGAAAACCUAAAUCAACGUGACCUCUCUAGACCCAGGCUCUUCACAGGGGGACUUGACACUGGUCUCUUUUCGCAGGACCAGUCCCGUGAGAAUUGCCUCACCCGACAGCUGCAUGAUGCCAUUCAAUUACAAAUAUGACUCGAUCCCUGCUCAUGGUGCACCAAGGGCAUGUCCUGGGAUCUGUUCUAAGCGUGGCCCUGUGUGUACACAGCACUGAGGGGACAGUGUGAGCCUUCCCCUGGCACUGGCAAGCCAAGGCGAAGAGCUGAAGGAGGCUCAGCCAAACCACCUGAGGUCUGGGAGCCAGCAGAGAAGAUUAAGCAGCUGUGCACACUCGCAAGGGCACCAUCUCCACACUGCCGAUCAAUGGAGACUACCACACUGCUAUUAAAGUGGUGCCAGGCCCCGCCCCUGGUGUAGGUGGCAGAACUGUGAGACUGGAACUCCAUGACUCCAAAGUACUUGCUCUUCGUACUGUAGUAGGACACCAUUGUCACCUGGGAAAUGUACCUGACCACUCACUCCGAUGUCUCUGUGUGCCAGGACAGUCAUUUCUGUGUGUCCGUGUUAACUCGGUGCCCAGUUCUGAGUACCCACUGUGUGUCAGGAAGUGUCUUAAUUAGCGUUACCAGCCAGCUUGACACAGUCUUGAAGCAUUUCCCUGAACAGCCUCUGUUGAGCAAUUGUCCUCAUCAGGUGGGUCGGCGAGCACGUCUGUUGGGGAUUGUCUUGCCAGUUAAAUGACGUAAGGGCACCCAGCCCCCUGCGAGCAGCGUCGGUCCCUGAGCAGGGGGUUCUGAGCUCUCUAAGGAAGCCAGCUGAAUGGAAGCCUGAGUGAACCAGAAAGUCAACAAGGGAUGCUCCUCCACGGUUUCUGCUUCGAGUUGCUGUCUUGAAUUCCUGCCUUGACUCUCCUCCUGGAUAGACGGUGGUGACCUCAGCGACUGUGCAUUAAAGGGUUAAUGCAAAUAAACCCUUUCCUCCCCCACGUUUCUUUUGUCUUACCAUAGCAACAGAAAUGUUUUACCACAGCAACCGAAAUGAAACUAGAACAGGAGGUGUGUUCAAAGCUGUCCUUAGAGGACAGAAUGAAGGAGUCACGGUAGUCAUGUGGCGUGGGCCACUGGCACUUCCUAGCCGUCCAUUAUGUUAUUUCAAAGCCGAGCAAAGUCCUGCAGCCAUAAUCAACAGGGUGGGGAUGGAAAGAGAGAAAGCGAGAGGCUUGACACCUGGAGCUCGAAGGAUGCUUGUUCAAGGAGGUGACCUGUAAGCCAUUAGGUCUCCACUGGCACUAAUCUGAAACCACUGUGCAUCUUCUGGAGACUCUUUGACAGUCUCCACCAGGGAGGAGGGUGCUACUGUGUCCCCAGAGAACCCAAGGGAAGGAUGCUGUGAGCAACGCCCAGAAUGAAGCAUUUUCCAGCUCAAGAGGUCCACACUGCCAAGGUUGAGAAACCCUGAUUCUGAAGAUAGGCAGGCAGGGAAGUCAGCGCGCUAAGGGAUGAGGAAACACUGGAGGUGAAAGGGGCAGCGCACACUGGCAUUAGUGCCAGAGCCUCAAGACAGCGUGGUUGCCCUCGGCAAAGGCAAACCCCAGUAGAAGACAUGAAGGAAAGGCAAGGUAAGGGGGGCUUCUGAUCGUGGACACUUCGUGACAGAAGACAUUGUUGGUGUUCUACACCCGACCUGUGAAAGAGGCCCCUAUGGGAUUCUAAAGACCAGCAGGGAACAUGGGGGAAGGACAGACUAAACCAAAAGCAGUGAAGGUAGACAGCAAAAGUGGCCCCAGAUGCAUUCCGGGGAGUGAUGGUUACACCCCAGGCAUGAACCACAAGAGGCUGAUGGUAACUGGGUAGCAAGGCCCACUCUGUAGGGAGCCCUAAUCAAAAGCCGAUUGAGGGAAUGUCUUAGUUUCUUUCCCUGUUGCUCUUUGUGGCCAUUUGAAUUCAAAACAUCCCUCAUAGGCUCUGGUCUUUGAAUAUUUGGUCCCCAGUUGGUGGUGCUAUCUGGGGAAGGUUUGGGAAGUUAUGCCCUUGCUGGAGAAAGUGUGUCAUGGACAGCAAGUUUUGCGAGUUCAAAGCCUUCCCCUCCUACCUGUCUGCAUUCGGCUUCCUGCUUGCCCUUGAGGUGCCCUUGAGGUGUGAGUGCUCAGCUUCUUGCUCCAGCCCCCACGCCUGCCACUUGCUGCUACACCUCCCCACUGGGAUGGACUCUAACCUUCUGGAACUGUAAGUCCAAAUAAACUCUUUUAGAAGUUGCUUUUGGUCGGGACGUUUUAUUAUAGCAACAGAAAAGCCACCAAUAUGCCAUCACAAAAGACCUCAGCCAAAGCAAGCUAGAGGAGGAAGAGUUGACCUUGGCUCUAGAUUCCAGCGCAUGGUCUAUGGUGAGGAUGUUAAGGCAGCUUGAAGCCUCUGGUCAUAUUACAUCUACAGACACGAAACAGGAAGUAAUGAAUGUGCCCAAGCGCUCAGUUUGAGUUCUCCUUUUAAUACAGUCCAAGAUGACCUGCCGAGAUAAUCUCCCGGAGGCCCAUCUGCCAGGUGAUUCUAGAUUUAUGAAGGUGACAGUUAACACGAGCCAUGAGAGGGAGGACUUCAAGACCUCAGCCUCACAGAUAAAUAGCUGGACCUAUCCAGUAAAAUUGGAGGUGUGUGGUGUUAUGGAGAGGCAUGGCUUGUCUGGGACUUUAAGCACCUCUGAGUUCUCAGUGCAAAUCUAAUGUUCUCUUUAAUUCCUACCAGGGUUUUGAAGAAAAAAAAAAAAAAGCAAUGUUUAGACACACACCUGACCAGGUAAGCUGGAUUUCUAAGAGUGGGUACCCAAGCACAAGAAAACUUAAACAUCAACCUUCACGCAGUGAGUCUAACACAGUGGUCCUCAGCCUUCCUAAUGCUUUGACCCUUUAAAACCCAACCAUAAAGUUAUUCUGUUGCUACCUCACGACUGCAAUGUUGCUACUGUUACGAGUCAUAAUGUAAAUAUCUGAUGUAAAUAUCUGAUAUGCAGGGUAUCUGACAUGCCACCCGCAGAGGGGUUGUGACCCACAGGCUGAGAACCUCUGGGCUAACACUGGGUGAGGUUCCACAUCCAACCGGCUUGAGCUGUUGAUGACCUCAAUAUGCUCAGGGGCCCCCCUUGUGGGCGGAGACGCUCAUCUGUGUAAUUCCAGAGGAGGCAUUCCUGUUUCCUAGCUAUAUAAUUCUGUGUCCUGCUUCAGCUCUUGGCUGAAUACCGUCCAAACAACGAACUGCUUGGUCUUGUGUGUUCUGGUGUCACCUGAGGUCCAGACCAUCAAUUCUCAGAUUCUCAGACGGUCUUGUUUGUAGCAAUGCUAAUCUCCACAGCGAAGUCUCAUGGCUUCAACCUGCCUUCCAUCUCUGAUUUAUUUUUUUUUGUCUGUCUGUCUGUCUGUCUGUCUUUCUUUUCUUUUCUUUUCUUUUCUUUUCUUUCCUUUUCUUUCUUCCUUCCUUUCCCUUUCUCCCUUCCUCUUUUUUCCUUUUUUUCUACAGAAUCUCACUCAGCAGCCCAGACUGCCUUGAACUACCCUACUUCAGGUUGACCUCAGACCACAAGCAAUUCUCCUGCCUCAUCCUCUGGGAUGAUGGGCAUGGGCCACCACACUCAACUUGUGAUCUUGCUUUCCAAACCUCCCAGUACCCUGCGCCAUAGAGCACUCAAAGCCGAAGCUGCCCAGAGUCGGUUCUUUGAGGUCAGUUGGGUACCAUUUUCCUUGUUAUGUUUGGGUGCCCAUCACAGCAUUGCUUUAUUCCUGGCUCCUCGGGAUCCCACAGUCCGUGUGCGUGCCGUGGCUCCUGGGACAAGGCUCAUAGAUUGUAGGUCAAAACUUCUCAACCUCAGAGCUCUUGAUAACAGUGUCACAAUUGUUCCUUGUCAUGGGGACCACUCCUUGCCUCUGUCAGACGUCCCGGCAGUGGUCCAGCCUUAUCACUAGCUGUGGCAGGUCCCCUAGUUUCUCAGUUCCAAUGGCACAUUACCAAAUAUUCCCUUGGGAAGCAAACGUCCCCCAAGUUCAUAGCAGGUGUUUGAUAGGAACGAUAAGGCCAAGCCAGUACUCUGAGAAUGUUGAAGCAGGUGGAGAGCGAGCAGACCAAGGAAUGCCCUAGCUGCCCUUGACAGGAAGAACAUGAUAAGAGCAAGAGGCUACCUCUCUUAGCCCAGAAAAUAGCUGGUGCUUCUGUUCUCUCUGUCUCUCUGUCUCUCAGCGCCUUACCAUCCUUUGUCUAGUCUGAUUUCCUACGAUAGCGUUCUUUCUGAGCACAUGUGGCGGGACCAGGCUCUGUCCCAAGCGGGUGGGACACGCUACUUCACUUCGUUCUCCUGAUAGCUCAGAGCCAGGAAUGAGUGAAGACACAUUCCGUAAACACACUGCCCUUCUGAGCCUUAGCUUUGUACUGUGAGGCGAACAGAACAAAGGCAGAGAAGUCCACAGCUCCUGCCUCGUCUUCUUCUACUUCAUCUGUGGUCUCAGUCCUUUUGCCAUACUUGGGUCCUUCCCCUGGGGUCCAAAUCACCACCUCCAAAAUGUCUCCCUUUCCCCAGAUGUCUUCUUCUCAGCUUGGUCCCUAGAGAGAAUUGGCCAUCUUGUUCCUUUCUUCUUCCCGGGGCAUUCUCAGCGCGUCACUGUCGUCCAGUACGCGUUGGCCUCACCCUGGGCCUUCUUGCCAUGGGCUUCGCUGAAGCAGGCCUCUCUGGUGAGUGCUCUAGAUGCAAGGAUGGGACCCAGUGGCCUCUCUCAGCCCAUUCAUUCUCUCCUGCAUGUGGGCUGUUGUUCACAACUCUGCUCCUUCAGGAGCUCUCAAGUGAACCAGGGCUUAAAAAGAAAACAGCCAGAGGAAGACACAGCACCAAGCCAGCAUCUUCAAGUAAAAGAUCUAAGAGCUGAAGAAACGAGUGCCCUACAGAGAGAGCUUGCUGUCCAAGGAAUGGCCAGGAUGUGGAAGAAUGAAGGAUCAGGGCAACAGUGAAUGGAGCUAAUAUGGAAGAAGCGUUAAUGAGUGUGGCCCAGUCAAGUCCCAUUGCCCGCAUCCUCCUUGGCCAAGGGCUCGAUUGGGCUGCAGAGGCGCAGAAAGGGGGUAGGGUGCUAUUACUGUAUAAAUCACCUGAUCUGUACUCGUUGGCAGUGUGUGUUCUUAACUGCUUAAUCUGUAGAAAAGAAAGCAACCCUAGUUCCUACAAGAGCAAAAGUAACUCAGACAGGUGAAGCCGAUUGCUUAAGAGCCCACAGGGAGUGAGCAAUCUCCAUGAACUUGUGGGUCUUACCAGUCGAGACUUAGGUGUGUGGGGAGGGAGAGGGGAGCCAUGCCUGCCAUUGUUUCCCUGUAUGUUUACAGUCAAACCUCACUGGGUCAUUCUUACACAAGUCCUCCUCCAUUAGCUUUCGGAACCUAAAGUGGGGCAGAAACACUCCUUCCCUGCUUGUUAUGUGCGCUGCGAUGUGGAGGACAUCUAUGGUUGUGACACUCCAGUCUGCCCCCUGGCUCCUCCCUUUCCUGCCUGUGGGAAGUGGACAUGGUGAGUUGACAGAAAGAACUGAACAGGAGUGACUUGCCUGGUGCAAAAUUCUUCUUUCUCUCUAGCGGAGAACUGGAAAGGUAACAAUGAAGAAGCAAUCGGGGCUGAGGAGGAAACUCGAGAUCACAGAGGGUCAUGUAGAAGCACUCCUCUCUGGCUGAUGACCUCCUAGCUGACCAGGCUACGCCCCACCCUAUGAGCAAACCCUGUGACUUUUCCACCCUGCUUUCACUGGGCAUGGCAAUGCCACACGCCAUAGAGAAGUCCUCCAGGGCUCCCUCUCAGGAACAGGGCUCACAUCUCAAUCCGCCACCCUGCUUUUAGACUCACUCAAGCAGAAAGAAAGAUUCAUAAAUGGAUCCCACCAAACAGAACAGCAGCGUCCUGGGUGUGGAGAUUGAUUGAUGGAAACUACACAUCGAUCCUAGGUAGUUUUGUCUCUUUUUUUUUUUUUUUUGGUAUGGUUCAUAACAAGAGGGCACGCACUUAGAAUUCUGAAUUGACAUUUCAAAGGGAUGGACUAGAGGGGACAAAGGAACAGAAUGGAGAAGAUUCUGGAAACUGUAGAGAGUUGAUAUAAAGGAAUAGAAAGACUUCCUGCAAAGAAAUGUUGCUGCUAGGACCUUGGGUUUAGAGGGUGGUCAUAGAGGCAUAAUUAGGUCAUGUGACCUCCAAAGACACAACAUCGCAUUCACGGAGCUGUAGUUUGACCAGGCCACACAUUGAGGACACAGCCUGAUAAGUCUUUGCUCUGUGGUAGAGAAUCCAGGAAAAUUAGAGGACAAAGGGCAGAGCCAACAAGAUGACCUCAGAGGAAGUUGGAAGAACCUCAAAGAGUCAAGGGGCAGAGGAGUAGGAAACUCACAAAAAUGCAGGGUCCAGGGAGGCAGAAGUCACUACUCCUGGAAGGGGAGGAAAUAUGAUUGGAAGAGCUAGAGCAGAAAUGGAACUCAGGUAAUUAGGAAAGCCCCAUCAACCAUGCAGGGCAUCUUCAGAGCCUGGUGGGGGACAAAAGAGCUUCUAUCCCUGUCACAACCCGGCAAAGUAAGAACACGCUUAUGACCAAGCCUACACAAAGUCUCAUCUGGAACAGACCAACAAUGAAGUCAUCACGGAACAAUGGGCCUCCAAGAGCUAGGCUGUGUCACACUGCCCUUUCUGUGCAGGUGACCCCAGCAGAAAGAGCCAGUGUAUAAGUACCUAAGCAAGUGGUCAAACUGGACAAUACUUUCACAAAAGGGAGGGGGACAUUUCUCCAGUGUGGGGCCAUUUAUUCACAUUCUUCCCUCAUUGUUGUGUUGGGUCUAAUGGGCUCAACCUAGAAGGGACCUUCAUCCUGCCUUCAGGCAGCUUUCAAUGAACAAGGCAGGGUUGGCUCUGAGACGAUUCCUCACUCCCAUAUAAAAAACAGAAGUACCUACAAUGCCUAAUCAACUGCAGGCUUGGGGUGUGGCUUAGGGGUGGAGGUCUUCUCUAGCAUGAUGCCCUGGGUUCAAUUCCCAGUACCGCACACGCCAGAGAACUUAGAAAGCUCUGAGCAUAGACCUUUAUUCUCUCUUUAGUUUGUGUUUUAUCCUUUAAUAAUCUAUUUUUAAAUUCAAAAGAUCCGAAGUUCCAAGAUGACAGACACCAAGAGUGUUCAACUUUUAGGACCUCCACUGGACUGCCCAGUAAGUCCUAGAAGACGCCACCAAGCUUUGAACCCUUCAUUUGGAGCAUAAAAUAAAGUUAUUUACUUAAAAUAAAUCUACGUCUCCUCCUGGAUCCAUCUUGUUUGGAAUUUUCAAUUCGAAAAUAUAUCUAAUACAACAAGCUUUCUGGAGAGCCAGCUGUAUACGUGGACUCCUUAGCCAAUCAAUUUAAAAUACUCCCUCAAGGGAAGUAGAUGCCGAACCCAGCCAUAAGCCGGAUUCAAAUGUUUCUCCAUUUUUUGGUGCUUGAGGGUUUUUUUUCAAUCAUUCUGACCUUCUCUUUAUUAAUUUUACAGUCAUUUAAAAACUCAAAUGACCCUUAUUGUUUCAGGGUACCUUAGAGACAAAACAUAUUCAAACAUUCUAGGCACGCUUAAUAUAACUAGAAUACUUCAGACGCAAAGUAGCUUUGACCAUCAUGGCGAAAUGAAGGACUUGAAGAGGGAGAAGAUAUUCUUCAAAGUUGCAUUUGGCAUUGUCUCUCACUUAGAACCAUAACUGAGAAGAAGCUAAGUUCUAUUUAGUGUUACCUCUCCAUAAGUAGCUACAGUUUAUCCUUUCUUUUCCUGUUUUUAGCACUGGGAAUUGAAGUUUGGGCCUCAGCUAUAUUCUCAGCUCUUUUCAACUUUUUUAUUUUGAGGUAAGCUUUGUUAAACUUAUAAUCCCCCUGCCUCAGCAUCCCAAAUAGUUGGGAUUACACGCCUGUACCACCAGACACAACUUCUUUUAAAUUUUUGUUGAUUUGAGAUAGCGUCUUCUGUAGCUGUCCUCAUAUUUGUUACCUAUCCAAGGAUGACCUUGAACUCCCUUGCUAAGAUUACAGGCUCCCCUCCCACCGCGUCUUGACUCUCCUUUAAAUAUUUUUUAUGCCUUGAAAAGUCUGACAUCGUGAAAAGCAGCUGUGUGCAUUGCUCCAACCAUUUGCAAAACCCUUUACAAUUUCUCUCCUUCCUUCAUGUACAGGACUAUUUUCCAAAAUCCUUUCCCGUCAACCUGUUACCAUAGUUUUCCCGCCAGCUCCAGCCUGACCCGAGGAGCAUGCAGCGUGAUCCAGACAUUCAGCUCACUCGCGUCUUCCUGUAGCCUGAGCAGUUUCCCGCAUGGCGACACUCCUCUUGGGAUUGUCACCUUUCAUGACUGUAUAUUGUUACACUCGAAGGAGGGACCAUAGAUUUUGGCUGCUUUGGAAAUGUGACUGUCUUAACUCAUAUGGCACUGAGAGUGUGAUUUGGAUUUCUGUCUGCUCAGUUUUGUUUGGUGUCCACAGCUAGGGAUUAAUCUUAAGGCCUCUGAAUGCUAGGCCGACACUCAACCACUGAGCUGCAUCCUUACCUCUCAGCUUAUUUCUUUCCAAAUUGUAUUUUUCUUAUUUUUAAUUACGUGUAAGUAUGAGGUAUGUGUAUGUGUGCCUUCAGGGGACUGCGGAACUCCUGCACACGUGCCCUGAAGCUGGAGUUACAGCAGUUGUAAGGCACGUCAUAUGGGAUCAAGCGCAGGUCCCCUGCAGGAAGUCUUGUUCUGAACCACUGAGUCAUCUCUGCAGCCACCCCCACCCCUGCCCCCGCCCCACCACAUCACUUCUUGAAGAGCAUUUUCAAAUAAUGGAAUAAAGCCUGGGACUUUACACAUCCUGCCCCCUUCCUUCCUCUAGUCCACCCCUACUAAACUCCAAGGCUGCCUGAAACAGCUAUUUUAACCCAGGGAAUCUUCUUGUUGGUUUUCUGGUUUGUUUGUUUGUUUGUAGAUUGUUUGGGGCCAGGGAGACGGUGCUUGUCAACAAGCCCAAAAACCUGAGUUCGAGUCCCUGAACCUACGUGGUGGGAAGAGAUAGCUGAGUCCCAAAGCUGCUUGCACUGUGGUACGUACACACACACACACACACACACACACACACGUAAUUUUAAAAAUUAGGGCUGCAGAGAUGGUUCAAAAGUUAGAGUACUUGAUGCCCUGCCAGAGGACUGGAGAUCAGUUCCCAUAACCCACAUCAGGUCACAACCACGCACAACUCCAGACUCGGGGGAUCUGACAAGCCCUCUGGUGUCCUAGGGCAAUUACACUCAAGCACACAUACUCCCCAACAUGCACAUAUAGUUGGCUGACUCAAACUCGUUUUAACUUUGUCCAUUUUAUUUUGAAGCUUCUGGGUAAUUUUUUUUGGGGGGGGGCAUUGUUUUUUGGUUGUUUUUUGUUGUUGCUGUGGUUUUGUUUUUUUUUUUUUUUUUUCUCAUUUGGUUUCAUAACUCUGACCUUAGCACAAGCAAGGCAAGUUUCUCUACCCCUGAACUUCAACCCCAGGUCCAAAUGUUUCCGUUUAGUAAAGAUCUUGAAUCUAUCCAGGAACAGUACCAAAUGUGUGCAUCCAUUGUGCAGAUGACAGAAAAGGACAUUUUCAUGCCUCUCAAAUGUCCUUAGCACUGCUCUAACGUCCCAAAGAACUUCUUAGGAGUUCGUCACAGGGCUCUGCUGCUCACUUAAUUUACUGUUGAGAGGACAAACGGGAGUAGAUUUCUGUCUUCUUGUCUACCUUGGGUUUUGUGGUAGGUCCCCUCUCCUAGGUCAUCCCCAGAAGGGUUAAACGCUGAAUUGAUCUCCCGAGUGUCUGUACUUCCAGGAGAUCCUUUGACUGGCAGGAUGCUGUAACUAUUUUUGCUGAGGCUGGGGAUAACUCGGUGGGUAAAGGACUUAUUUAAGCAUGAGAACCUGAGUUCAGAUCUCUAGCACCCCUGUGAAAAGCUGGUCAUAGUAGGAAAUGCUGUCAUCCACUCACGGAGGGAGCCAAAGGCGAGAGGAUCUCUGGGGCUUGCUAGCAAGUCAGUCUAGCUAACCAGUAAGACCGAGAGAAACGACGAAGACACCCAAGAUCAACCUCUGAUUGCCCCAGAGAGACAGAGUCAGGCAGGCAGAGACAGAAAUACCUCCAGUGUACUUAAAGGUUCUUGUAUUCUUUCUUUCAUGCAACUGGGAAAUACAACAGUUACGUUUGACCUAGAAUGAUUCCGGAAGCAUUGGGUGGUUGCUGCUAUACAAACUCAAACCAUGAUUCCCUGUGCUGCUUCUCCCCAGCCAUCAGCCAUCUGAAAUUCAAGCGAGGCCCAGGACCGCAGCUGCAUGCUUCCAGGUGACACCAGUUAGCCACCAGGUGACUAUCUCACUGACUGACCGCACUGUUUGCUUUUAAACUCUCGGGCGGGAGCGCAUCUCCUGCACCCCCACAUCCCAGCAAGAACCGAACUGUGCUCGGGUAAAGACAGAAUUUUGCUCCUGGGUUUAAGGUAAAGGGUAAAAACAGGAAAAGAGACAGAAACGUUAGAGCCUGUGUCUCAGUGAAUCGCCAGACCUGUGGUUUUCUCCGAACCACACCCAGGGGCCACGGCUGGAGGUGAUGAUCAACGUCACACAGGACUGACCACCUCCUCACAAGAUUCCUCUACUAAUAACCUUUCCUCCUCUUUUCACAGGCCUUUCUGGGUUAGGAUGACUUUGGGGAAAUCUAAUUACAGCCCUUUCCGAGCUCCAACUUCACCACCCAACAAACCCGUUUUACAACUCAAAGGAAUCUAAUUUGGCCUCGCGCUUACGUUGGAAUAACACACCAAACAAGCGAAAAGCUGGCAGCUCAACUAAUGAGACUAGAUUUGGGCCACACUGCCAACUCGAUCUAAUUAAGAAGCACCAGCGCGUUAACGACACUUGAAGGGGAAAGGUUCGAGGAGGACACGGGGUUCGCGAUUCAUGAGAGCAGCGGUGUCCCGAGAGACAGUCAGCCCAGCCACCUUCCCUCCACACCUAGGGAGGUGAGCGGUCCUGGAGCCGGGAUGAAUCGAAGGUUCCGAAUAUUCAGAACCCAAUCCCAGCUAAGCCUGAAGAAGCCUGCCGUGUCCCGGUACAGCCACACACGUGAAAUGAUGCCAUUUUUACUUAUUAAUAUUUAUUUCUAGGAGACGAACAGACUCAUUGUAUAGAGAGAUGCCCCUGACCAACUGUCAACUUCUGUUUUACUACCAGUUUCUCCCAAGGCAUUUCCAAAUAAAAGGACACUAGAAUAAAAAAAUAAAAAAGCACAGUGAAAACCACUUGGGUGUGAGCUGCCUGUCACUCACUCAGUGUUUUACAUUCUGCCAAAUCUAACAACAUCCCACCGAGGCACUGUGUUGGGUCCUGCUCCAAAUGACACUCACAGCAACGCC